This 460-nucleotide ribosomal RNA is filed under the name uncultured bacterium. RNAcentral's name for it is "partial 16S ribosomal RNA". It matches the Rfam family "Bacterial small subunit ribosomal RNA", at positions 338 to 795 of the family's 1533-position model. The record is from RNAcentral.
CCUACGGGAGGCAGCAGUGAGGAAUAUUGGUCAAUGGACGAGAGCCUGAACCAGCCAAGUAGCGUGAAGGAUGACUGCCCUAUGGGUUGUAAACUUCUUUUAUAUGGGAAUAAAAUGUUCCACGUGUGGGAUUUUGUAUGUACCAUAUGAAUAAGGAACGGCUAAUUCCGUGCCAGCAGCCGCGGUAAUACGGAGGGUCCGGGCGUUAUCCGGAUUUAUUGGGUUUAAAGGGAGCGUAGGUGGAAUGUUAAGUCAGUCGUGAAAGUUUGCGGCGCAACCGUAAAAUUGCAGUUGAAACUGGCAGUCUUGAGUGCAGUAGAGGUAUGCGGAAUUCGUGGUGUAGCGGUGAAAUGCUUAGAUAUCACGAAGAACUCCGAUUGCGAAGGCAGCUCACGGGAGUGCAACUGACGCUGAGGCUCGAAAGUGUGGGUAUCAAACAGGAUUAGAUACCCGUGUAGUC